AUGUCUAGAAACAUAUAUCUUCUUCAUUAUUGUACCAUUCUUCAUUCUAUAUCAGUACGAGUCUCAUUGUAGGUUAAAGGAAAUUUUCGGUAACUGUUGGAAUAUAGUAGUUGUACGAUUUGAAUUUUACAGGAUUUUGGAAGUGGGACAAUGCUACAAGUUUAAGAGGUAAUAUAAAUUGUAAAUAAAUUACCAUAAAGAGAAAGAGGAGACUGAAGAGGGAAUUUCCGCAGAGACAGACAUGAAUAUGGCUUUUGAUGGUGAUAUAGUCGCAGUUGAGCAUUUGCCUCAAGAACAGUGGCACGAGGAGUAGUCUUUGGAAUUAGUUGAUGAAGGUUUGUCCACAUUGUUUUUUUACUUUGAUGAACAUGAUUUUCUUUUAUAUUGCAAAAUUGAUCUACUUUUCUUUCGAACUAGGCGAAAUGGCCUGGAUUUGUCCUCUAUUAACAAUUAGAUCAUCAUGAUAUGGACUUAUUGACUAACUUAAAACCAUUAAAGAGUUAUUAUUAUCUCAUAAGACUAAUUAGCACUAUCAUUUGUGUCAUACGUGGCUUAAAUUCACCCCUUCUACCUCCUCUUAACUCUCUACCCGGCCUCCAUUCAACCUAUCAAUCCUUCUCCAUCUACCAUCGUUAUCGUUGGCCAUGGUUAUGGUCAAGGGAAACAAUAACGUCAAUAUAUGCAUCUUAAGUUUAGAAUGUAUCUCUUAAUUUUGUUUUGCUAAUUUUUCUCUCCCUUUCUUAUUCUGCUUCUAAGGUUAAUGUUUUAUAAAUUUUUUCAUCAUGUGGUGACAACUAAUAUAUCCUUAUCUAGAGUUGGAUACAAAAUAUUACGAUUUAGGAAUAUUGAACUGUGAUGCCACUAACGAUCAAGUUAUUGUUGAAAAUGAUGAGGGAACUCUGAAGUAAGUUAGAUUAAUUGUUCUUCUUACUUAUUUCCAUCCAUUUCACUCUUAGAGAUUCAUUGUUUUAGGUGAUUAUUGUUUUUUUUCCUUCAGAAUUGAUGUAAAUUUAUAGUUUAUUAAAAUGAUCAGUUGAAGUUGAUUAAUAUAUUAGUUUGAGGAAUUAGCUUUCUUUGUGUUGUUGCAAAUUCUUUUGUAUUACACACCAAAGCUAGCAUGUAAGAAAUGAUGGAAUGCAUGUAGUCACCUUAGAUGAUAAAUUGGACAACACCUUAGUUGAAUUUUGAAUUUUGAAUUUAUCAAGAAAGUAUAGCAUGUCCAAUCAACCUAUGUGGCCAAUUCUCUUAAUGGUUGUUGGUAUUAGAAGUAGUUUUUCCUCCAUCUGAUGAAGUGGUAAGAAAGAUAAAUAUCAGCAUAUCUUGAGAAGCUUGCUACAUUCAUAAAGUAUAACCACCCCCAUAUUCCCAUUAUAAAAUCCUUAUCUCAAAUUAUGACAAACAUGAUAGCCAAAACAUGCAUAUUCCACUAAUAAAAACCAAAUAGUUGAUCUAAAAUAAUGAUGCGACUUACCUACAACACAUGCCAAAACACAAUCAAUAUAAUUGGAUUCUGUAGAUUUAAUUAUCUGAUUAAAGCUCAGAAAAACAGAUGAUCCUAAAAAGUGAACAUCUUGGUUGAAAAGAGAAGUAUCAUCACAAUUAGGAAGUAAGACACUAAAAUGGAAGCACUACAUAUCCUUUGUUUGAAAUAUAUUGAAACACUUGUAAAGUUAUUUCUUUAUUUUAGUAGCUAGAACUGACAUUUCAAUGAUAUUCUUAUGAUAUAACACUUUGCCUUGAUCAUGUAGUUGAAUACGUGAUUUAGCUUAGUCGUACGUAAAUAUAAAGAAAAUAAUAUCAAGGUAUUCUUUGACUUAAAAAAUAGCAUGUAUUGCUGAGAUAAAAAGAUAAUUAUCAAUCAAAUUGCUUAAUAUGAGUGAGGGCUUCAUUUAAGAUCUAAAUUGAGUAUUUGGUUGUUAUUACUAAGUGUAGUAUUACUAAUACCUUUCUUCUUAUUAAUUUUCUACUAUAUAAAACAUAAUAGACUGAUUCUUUUUGCUAGGCAGUCAUUAGGUGGGAGAAAAUUAACAAUUUGAUUCUUAACCUUCAGUUUUAUUAUAAGAUUAAGGAAAGACCUCCCAGGCCGUAUGCCCAUGGGAUGGGGUAGGACUCUUCAAAAAAUGUGUGCGUUUAUCCAGAAACAUAGGACCUUGGCUUACCAAUGGAUAAAUGCAAGCUUUAGUAAUUGAUCUUGUUAUGAAUAGGCCUAGAUAAGUAUUGACAAAGCGGUCCACACUGAAUUAAGUGUCCAUGUAUGGAAUUCGGGUUGAUAAUUAAAGAAAAGUGAAAGCAAAAGAGGGUUAUACAAAUUGUUGAGAAAAAUGUCUACCCUCUCAUCCCCUUCUAUGAGUUCUACUUCUAAUACCCUUUCUUCUACUUAUGAUUUUCAAUUUCUAUUUAGUUCUUAAAUUCCUUUGUAAUUCUAAUUAUGAGUUAGUGAAAUAGAUUUGUCGGUUGUUUGAAUUUGAAUUGAGUUGGCCUUGGUAUUGAAUUUGUUAUGUCUUUUACUUUGGGUUUCAUUUUCACACUUUAAAGAAAUUUAUUAUUUUAUAUAUUGAUGAGGGAUGAAUGUCAUACUUUGUCUCGCUCAAAUAUUAUUACACCUCACUCCUAUGUAC
Solanum lycopersicum (tomato) is the source of this 2618-nucleotide long non-coding RNA. RefSeq lists it as uncharacterized. Lineage: Eukaryota; Viridiplantae; Streptophyta; Magnoliopsida; Solanales; Solanaceae. The record is from RefSeq and is a predicted model, not a curated record.